This 105-nucleotide small nuclear RNA is filed under the name Capra hircus (goat). The record is from RNAcentral. Lineage: Eukaryota; Metazoa; Chordata; Mammalia; Artiodactyla; Bovidae.
GUGCUCGCUUCAGCAGCACACGUGCUAGAACUAAGGAUACAGAAAAGGCCAGCAUGGCCCCUGAGCAAGGACAGCAUGCAGAUGCACGAGGUGCACCACACGGGG